This is a long non-coding RNA of Hippocampus zosterae (dwarf seahorse), 408 nucleotides long. RefSeq lists it as uncharacterized. The transcript has 2 exons. NCBI's taxonomy places the organism in Eukaryota, Metazoa, Chordata, Actinopteri, Syngnathiformes, Syngnathidae. The record is from RefSeq and is a predicted model, not a curated record.
GAAAAGAGCACAAAGAAACAACAAAGCCAAUCAAUCACUCAAUUAAUGCGUGUCACCAUUUGAUGAUACAUGAGGACUUCAUCACCAGCAGCAGUCUAUUGCUUAUUCAUGAAUUAGGAAAACCUAUUCAGCUACAUUUUCUCUUUCGAGUCCAUCCCAGUCCCGUUUGCUAACGGUGACCGACACUCCAAGAUGUCAGCGAGCCGGUGCGUCCGUGUGGGCUUUAAGUCACUGAAUACGGAAAUGAUCAUUUGUUUCAACUAUUCUACUUGCUUGUGAAUACGUUUCGGAUGUUCUAGUGUGCGUUCCAAACCUUCAGAAUGCACCGUAGGGGUCCUUCUCACUAGCGCAACUCGCAUGCAAGAAAAAGUUGUUUCAGAAAAUUCCACAUAUGGAGGAAGGUAAAAA